Molecule: long non-coding RNA, 9910 nt
Filed under: Homo sapiens (human)
Lineage: Eukaryota; Metazoa; Chordata; Mammalia; Primates; Hominidae
Description: non-protein coding lnc-ESR2-3:15
Source: RNAcentral
GGUUUCCGCCCAGUCUCUGGGGACGCGGUGGCGGGGUCUGAAUCGCCUGGCUUCCAGGGAGUUUUGGGCGGGUCCCCGCACGGGAGCGUGGCAGGCGCUGGACUCGACAGCAGAUGUGGAACUGGAGAGCUUGGCGCGCCCUCAUACUUUGUCACACACCUACGCCACCAGACUGGGGUCGGGCCCCUCCGCGUUCUGCUCUGGAGGGCCUGGGUCUGGGCCCAGCAUAGCGCUUUUAGAAUCUCCUCAGCUGAAUCUGACGCUCAGCCGUAGGUGAAGCUUAGCCCGCUGUUUCAGGCCCCGCCGAUCUGGAAGGAGUGUCAGAGCUGGAGCGCGCGUGGCCUCAUCGGUGUUGGGGUCACCCCGGGGUUGCCAGGGCUCAUGGAGGGUCGUAGUCUGGAUUUUGUCACCCCCACGUCCCCGCCCCGCAGCAAGUCUGGGGUUGGAGAACUCACGCGGUCUUCGUAAGCUACAUGCCAGUUGACCCUCGAGGAGGGAUGCUCCCUCCCCUUAAGCGUCCACGCUGGAGAAGGAGUAAGAUGGACAAUUGCCUGGGGAGCCUGACAGGGCGGUGGCAGCUGGGAUGCUGGAGAGGACUGGCCCCUUGUGUUACUGAGUCCAAGGAAUAUGCUUGCUCUGCUCUAGGAACCGCGUUCAGGUUACAGUCAUCCCAGUAGAGUCCUGAAGAUGCGUGGUUCAGGUCACUUAGGACUUGACCAGAUACCGGGUUUCUUUUACAAGCCGUUUACUACUGGCAGAGCUCAUCUAAAACUUUUUUUGUUUGUUUGUUUGAGACGGAGUCUCAUUCUGUCGCCCAGGCUGGAGUGCAGUGGCACGAUUUUGGCUCACUGCAACCUCCGCUUCCCGGGUUCAAGCAGUUCUCUGCCUCAGCCUCCCGAGUAGCUGGGAUUACAGGCACCACCUAAUUAGCCCGCCACCACGCCCGGCUAAUUUUUGUAUUUUUAGUAGAGACGGGGUUUCACCAUCUUGGCUAGGCUGGUCUUGAACUCCUGACCUCGUGAUCCACCCGCCUCGGCCUCCCAGAGUGCUGGGAUUACAGGCGUGAGCCACCGCACCUGGCCUAAAACUGAUUUUUUAUUAAUUUUGGGGCUUUUAAUAUUUUUUUCUUAUUUCUAAAUUCUGAGGUUAUUUAUAGUAGCCCCAUAUACGGGAUUAGAUAAUCUCUUGUGAUUUUCUAUUUCUGGUAAUUAUUUCUAAUAUAUGUUUUUUUGUUUUUGAGACGGAGUCUCGCUAUGUCGCUCAGGGUGGAGUGCAGUGGCAUGAUCUCCGCUCUUUGUAGCCUCUGCCUCCCGGGUUCAAAUGAUCCUCCCACCUCAGCCCCCCGAGUAGCUUGGACCACAGGUGCAUGCCACCACGCCGGCUAAUUUUUCUAUUUUUGGUAGAGUUGGGGUUUCACUAUGUUGACCAGACUGGUCUAGAUCUCAAGGGAUUAGUCUCCCUUGGCCUCCCAAAAUGCUGGGAUAAUGGGCAUGAGCCACCGUGCGUGGCCUUAAAGUUACUAUUCUUAAAGUUUGCACAAGUGAUAUGUUAAAGGCACAGACUUAGUAAUAUAAUGUCAUUAUAAUAAUAACCCUAAAACACAUUGUCUCAUAUUGUGUUGUACCUAAACAAGUGAAAUUAAGAAGAAAAUUGAAGGAAAUGUUUCUGGUAAAUUGCAGAUAGUGAAUCUUUUGUCUUAUACUAUCAAAUAGGUAUUGACUAUUCCAGCUUUCUUAUUUGUUGAGGAAGAUGGCAGAAAUCCCGUUUUACAGAGGGAUAGACUUUGAAGGAUAAUACCCAAAGCUGCAUAGCUGUGGCUGGUAUAGGCCCCAAACCUGAUGUUUCUUCUCUAAAUCUACUGCCUUUGCCAUCUCAACAGCCUGGUUUUUGACAGUUAUCUAUGUAUGAGUUGCAUAAAUCGUUCAUUCAUGGAGCAAAUAAUUAUUGAGUGGCCACUAUGCCAACAGCACUGCUAUAGAUGCUAGAGAUACCCUAGUGAACCAGCAAAGUUUCUGCUCUCAGCUCAUAUUCUGGUGGAGGAGACAACGAUCAAGUUAAAGAAAUACAUAGGCUAAUUUUAGAGAUUAUGACAUGCUAUAUUUUAAAAAUAGGCAAGCUAAGAGGAUAGGCAGUGAUGCUGGGAGGUGGGAAAGUUUUGUCUCAGAAAUGUGGUAAGAGAUUUCUUUGGGCAUCUGACUUCAGCAGAAACCUUAAUGAAGAGAGGAACUUGGAAUGUAAAAGAAAGAAAGCAGGGAUUUGCUCUGAGCAACUGGAAAGAUGGAAUUGCCAUUCGCUGAGUUGAAAUAAAGUAAAAUGUAGGACUAGGUUUUGGGGUUAAGAUUAUGAAUUCGGCUUUAGACAUUUUUAGAUUUCUCUUAGACAUCCAAAUGGAGAGAAGAUAUUUAAAUCCAUGGGAUUGAAUGAGAUCCAACCAAGGGUAUUGUAGGUAGAGAGAGGACCAAAGACUGACACCUAGAACCUUUCAGUGUUCAGAAUGCAAGGAGACAGGAGGAACCAAGAGGGAAGAUUGAAAAGGAGAGUCCAGCUGGGAGCUGUGGCUACACCUUUACUAAUCCCAGCACUUUGGGAGACCAAAUACAGGAAGAUCACUUGAAUCCAGGAGUUUGUAGAACAGCCUUAGCAACAUAGCAAGACCCUGUCUCUACAAAAAUAAAAAUUAAAAAAUUUGCCUGUAAUCCGAGCAUUUUGGAGGCCGAGGUGGGUGGAUCAGCUGAGGUCAGGAGUUUGAGACCAACUUGGCCAACACAGUGAAACCCCGUCUCUACUAAAAAUACAAAAAUUAGCUGGGCGUGAUGGCUGGCACCUGUAAUCCCAGCUACUCGGGAGGCCGAGGCAGGAGAAUCCCUUGAACCUAGGAGGCAGAGGUUGCAGUGAGCCGAGAUCACGCCACUGCACUCCAGCCUGGGAGACAGAGCGAGACUCCAUCUCAAAAUAAAUAAAUAAAUAAAAAUUUAAAAAGUUAGCUGGGCGUGGUGGCAUGUACCUGUAGUCCCAGUUACUCAGAAGGCUGAGGUGGGAGGAUCCUGUGAGCCUAGGAGUUGGAAACUUCAGUAAGCUAUAAUCAUCACACUGCACUCCAACCUAGGCAACAGAGCAAGACCCUGUCUCUUAAAAGGAAAGGAGAGUCCAGUGUGUUCUAAGGAAAACCCCAAGAGCAUCCCACCUUAGAAUACAAGUGAGGAGGCCUGGCAUGGUGUCUCAUGCCUGUAAUCCCAGCACUUUGGGAGGCCAAGGUGGGUGGAUCACUUGAGGUCAGGAGUUCUAGACCAGCCUGACAAACAUGGCGAAACCUCCGUCUCUAUAAAAAUACAAAAAUUAGCCAGGUGUGGUAGCGCGUGCCUGUAAUCCCAGCUACUAGGGAGGCUGAGGCAGGAGAACUGCUUGAACUCAGGGGGCAGAGUUUGCAGUGAGCCGAGAUAGUGCCACUGCACUCCAGCCUGAGCAACAGAGUGAGACUCUGUCUCAAAAACAAACAAGUAAACAAACAAAAAAAAAAACAAGACAAGUGAAGAAUGUGUUUCAUGGAAAAAGAGGUAAUUAAUUCUGUCAAGUGUUGCAAAUUGGUCAAAUAAAGAAUGAAAAUCAACCUUUCACAGCAAAUAGAAGGAAAAAAUAUUUUUAUUUAAAUGCUUAUAAAGGCAGUUGCUAGAAAAAAUGUUUACUUUUUGCAGAGGCCCCGUUUUUACAACCUUUUUCAGGGGUAAUUUGAUAUGAUAAUAUCUACGGGAAAAAAAAUGUUUUUUUUUUUGAGUCGCUCUGUCACCAGGCUGGAGUGCAGUGGCAUGAUCUCGGCUCACUGAAACCUCCGCCUCCCAGGUUCAAGCAAUUCUUCUGCCUCAGCCUCCCAAGUAGCUGGGACUACAGGUGGGCGCCACCACACCCAGCUAAUUUUUGUAUUUUUAGUAGAGACGGGGUUUCACCAUGUUGGCCAGGAUGGUCUCAAUCUUGACCUCGUGAUCUGCCUUCCUUGGCCUCCCAAAGUGCUGGGAUUGGUACAGGUGUGAACCACCAUACCUGGCCCGAAAAUUUUAAAUUUGUAUUUUCUUUGACAUUGUAAUUCCACUUCCAGGAUUUUUUUUUUUUGGACAGGAUUUUACUCUGUCACCCAGGCUGGAGUGCAGUAACACAAUCAGCUCACUGCAACCCUGAACUCCUGGGCUAAAGUGAUCCUUCUGAGUAGUUGGGACUAUAGGCACAUGCCACCACCCCUGAUUAAUUAAAAAAUUUUCCUGUAGAGAUAGUCUUGCUAUGUUGCCCAGACUGGUCUCCAGCUCCUGGCCUCAAACCAUCCUCCCACCUUGACCUUCCAAAACGUUGGGAUUACAGGCGUGAGCCACCUCUCCCAGUUUAGGAAUUUAUCUUAAAGUAAUAUUUACAUAUAAAGAAAGAUGUAUAGGCUGGGUGCAGUGGUUCACGCCUGUAAUCCCAGCACUUUGGAAGGCCGAGGCUGGUGGAUCAACUGAGGUCAGGAGUUCAAGACCAACCUGGCUAACAUGGCGAAACCCCAUCUCUACUAAAAAUACAAAAAUUAGCUGGGCGUGGUGGCCAGCCCCUGUAAUCCCAGCUACUCGGGAGGCUGAGGCAGGAGGAUAGCUUAAACCCAGGAGACGAAGGUUGCAGUGAGCCAAGAUUACACCAUUGCACUCCAGCCUGAGCAACAAAAGCGAAACUCCAUCUCAAAAAAACAAAAACUAAAACUAAACAAAACAAAAAAACCAUGUGUAAAACUGUUAAUCACAACACUGAUUUCAAUAGCAAAAAACAAAAUUUCUGUCAGGAUGGAUGCAGUUGUUAAAGGAACAGCAGAUACAUAUGUAUAGACAUGUAAGAUAGCUUUCAUACUUUUUUUUUUGAGAUGGAAUUUCGUUCUUGUCACCCAGGCUGGAAUGCAAUGGUGAGAUCUAGGCUCCGCUUCUCAGGUUCAAGUGAUUCUCCUGCCUCAGCCUCCUGAGUAAGCUGGGAAUACAGGCGCCCGCCACCACGCCCAGGUAAUUUUUGUAUGUUUAGUAGAGACAGGGUUUCGCCAUAUUGGCGAGGCUUGUCUCAAACUCCUGACCUCAGGUGAUCCACCCACCUCCAAAAGUGUUGGGAUUACAGGCAUCACCCACCACGCGUGACCAGCUUUUAUACAUUUUUAAAUGAUAAAGACAGGUUAAUAAAAUGUAUAAUAUUAUGUUGCUAUAUCCAAAAAAAGGCCUUCUUUGAUUACACUAUCAAAAGUUACCUCUCCAUCUACAUCCCCAUUACUAUCUCAUUAACCUGUUUUAUUCAUAGCACUUACUACCAUCUAAAAUGACUUUAUUUCUUUAUAUUUUUGUUUGCUACCUGUCUUUUACACCAGAAUUUAAUUUUUAAGCUUUUUUUGUUUGUUUGUUUGUUUGUUUUGAGAUGGAGUCUUGCUCUGUUGCCCAGACUGGAGUGCAGUGGUGCGAUCUCAGCUCACUGCAACCUCUGCCUCCUGGGUUCAAUCAAUCCUCCUGCCUCAGCCUCCCAAGUAGCUGGGAUUACAGGCAUGUGCCACCAUGCCCAGCUAAUUUUUGCAUUUUUAGUACAGCAGGGUUUCACCAUGUUGGUCAAGCUGGUCUCAAACUCCUGACCUCAGGAGAUCCGUCAGCCUUGGCCUCCCAAAGUGUUGGGAUUACAGGCGUGAGCCACAGCACCCAGCCAGAAUUUAAACUUUAUAAGAGAUUUCCUGUCUUGUUCAUACUUAUAUACCUGCAGCUUCGAAACAUAUAUAUAUGUUUAAUAUAUAUAAUAGAUAUAUUUUAAAUUAUAUAUAGAGAGAUGGAGUUUCACUCUUGUUGCCCAGACUGGAGUGCAAUGGCGUGAUCUCGGCUCACCACAACCUCUGCCCCCCGGGUUCAAGCAAUUCUCCUGCCUCAGCCUCCAGAGUAGUUGGAAUUACAGGCACGUGCCACCAUGCCUGGCUAAUUUUGUAUUUUUAGUAGAGACAGAGUUUCUCCAUGUUGGUCAGGCUGGUCUCGAGCUCUUGACCUCAGGUAGUCUGCCUGCCUCGGCCUCACAAAGUGCUGGGAUUACAAGCAUGAGUCACUGUGCCCUGCCAGAAUUUAAGCUUUAUAAGAGAUUUCCUGUCUGUUUAUACUUAAAUACCUGCAGCUUGGAAACAUAUAUAUGUUUAUAUGUAUAUAUUACAUACAUUAUAUAUAUAUUUUUAUAUAUUAUAAUUAUAAACUCCUGACCUCAGGUGAUCCACCUGCCUCAGUCUCUCAAAUGCUGGGAUUACAGGCGUGAGCCACCACGCCAGGCCAGAAACAUAUUUUUAAAAAUCUUGUUUUAGAGGAAAAACAGAGUAUUUCUUUUUUUUUUUUUAUUAGAUGGAUUCUCACUCUAUUGCCCAGGCUGGAGUACAGUGGCACAAUCUUGGCUCACCGCAACCUCAGCCUCCCGGGUUCAAGCAAUUCUCCUGCCUCAGCCUCCCGAGUAGUUGGAACUAUAGGCGUGAGCCACCAUGCCCUGCUAAUUUUUGUAUUUUUAGUGCAGAUGGGGUUUCACUAUGUUGGCCAGGCUGGUCUCGAACUCCUGACCUUGUGAUCUGCCCACCUCGGCCUCCCAAAGUGCUGGGAUUACAGGUGUGAGCCACUGCGCCCGGCCUAUUUCUUCUUCUCUUUGUUUAGUUAUUAUCUAUUACUCUCAUUCCUAUGAACAUAACUUGUUUCUCCCCACUUAAUUUUUAUCAUACAUAAUUGUAGACAGUGGGCACUGUCUUCAAUUAUAGUGAAUUUAGCAGUAAAUUCACAUUAGACCAACUUGUAUAGCUUUAAAAAAUAUAUUUAUGUCUAGGUUCCACCCUUGACCAACUAAGUCAGAACUUGGGUGGGUUCAAGGUUCAUUAUUCUUUGAAGAUAAGAUGAUGUUUGAAUAAAAUUCCUGGUGAUUCUGGUAUCAAAAAUACAAAUUUGGGACAUACUUUUUCUGCUGUAAAAAUAUUUUCCUAAGGCCAGGCGCAGUGGCUCACGCCUGUAAUCCUAGCACUUUGGGAGACGGAGGCGGCGGAUCACUUGAGGCCAGGAGUUCAAGACCAGUCUGGCCAACAUGGUGAAACCCAGUCUCUACUAAAAAUAGAAAAAAUUAGCCAGGCAUGGUGGCACGUGCCUGUAGUCCCAGCUACUCAAGAGGCUGAGGCAGGAGAAUCCUUUGAACCCGGGAGGCAGAGGUUGCAGUGAGCCGAUAUUGCAGCACUGCACUCCAGCCUGGGUGACAGAUCAAAACUCUGUCUCAGAAAAAAAAAAAAAAAAAAAAAGAAUUUCCUAGAAUUAGAAUCGCAGGGGUUUUUUUUGUUUUGUUUGUUUGUUUGUUUGUUUGUUUUUGAGACAGAGUUUCACUCCUGUCGCCCAGGCUGGAGUGCAAUGCCAUGAUCUCGGCUCAUUGCAACCUCUGCCUCCUGAGUUCAAGCAAUCCUCCUGCCUCAGCCUCCCGAAUAGCUGGGAUUACAGGCACCUGCCACCAUGCCCAGCUAAUUUUUGUAUUUUUAGUAGAGACUGGGUUUUACCAUGUUGGCCAAGCUGGUCUCGAACUCCUGACGUCAGGUGAUCCACCCAGCUCAUUCUCCCAAAGUGCUGGAAUUACAAGCAUGAGCCACUGCACUCGGCCUUUAUUUAUUUAUUUAUUUUUGAGAUGAAGUCUUGCUCUGUUGCCCAAGCUGGAGUGCAAUGGCAUGAUCUCGGCUCACUGCAACCUCCACCUCCCAGGUUCAAGCAAUUCUCCUGCCUCAGCCCCCUGAGUAGCUGGGAUUACAGGCGUGCACCACCACGCCUGGCUAAUUUUUGUAUUUUUAGUAGAGACAGGGUUUCACUAUGUUGGUCAGGUUAGUCUCGAGCUCCUGACUUCGUGAUCCGCCCGCCUCAGCCUUCCAAAGUGUUGGGAUUACAGGCGUGAGCCACCGCGCCUGGCCAGAAUCCCAGUUUUUUAACACAUCUAAUGCUUUAGGAAUAGUAAAUGGAAACAUCAUUUCCCCUUCUUUCGAAGUACUUCUACCUUGAUGAGAUGUAUGUAUUGGAGUACAAUAUUUGACCUAGCCAAGAAUUUCACAAAAGAAGCCCAAAAUAUGAUUUUCACGUUUACUGGACUGUUCACUUUUGGUGGGAUCACUUUCUUAAGAUUACUUAAAGUACUAAUGCUUGAUGAAAAUCAUUUGUGUUUUCACUUCAUUAAUUGGAGAAAGAGCUACAUGUUUUUGUUGUUGUUGUUGUUGUUUUGAGAUGGUGUCUUGCUCUGUCUCCCAGGCUGGAGUGCAAUGGCGUGAUCUCAGCUCACUGCAACCUCCGCCUCCCGGGUUCAAGCGAUUCUCCUGCCUCAGCCUCCUGAGUAGCUGGGACUACAGGCGCCUGCCACCACGCCCAGCUAAUUUUUAUACUUUUAAUAGAGACAGGGUUUCACCAUAUUGGCCAGGAUGGUCUCAAUCUCUUGACCUUGUGAUCCACCCGCCUUGGCCUCCCAAAGUGCUGGGAUUACAGGCGUGAGCCACUGCGCCCAGCCAGAGCUACAGGUUUUACUGUAACACUUUAGAAGGUCCUUUUUCUUUGUACCUCUGUGAUGUGUUCACCUAGCAACAGCUUCUUUGAUAUGCAAACAUUCUACAGGCAAAUUGCUCAGAGCAGCUACUCAUGUUGGACAAUUCAGGUCUCUUCUGGAAACUGGCCUUGUAUUUGGAAUUUUCUCCAGAGUCUGAUGUGAGUACGAGUACAUCUGGUUGAAAGAGAAAAGGCAGAGAGAAAAGCAGACUUUUUGGAGUUGUUGUUCUCAGGCACUAACAGAUUCAUCCCUUAUAUGCAUAUGAAUGGACAAUAAGAUUUCUUGGAUAUUUUCAUGGCAAAGCUUUCCUUCUAUGUCUUGGUUUUACACGACAAGAAGCCCAGAAACUGAACUUGCUUACUCAGCUCCCGAGGUUGAAGGUGGCAAGAAGGUGGGUAAGAGUGAAGCUAUCCUGGACAAGAACUUUGACAGGACAAUACUAUUCACUCUGAAGGACCAAAAAAUGAGCAGAAAAUUUGGGAUAAAUGUCAACAAGAUUUGAACCCUAAAGAAAAGCAAGCAUCGAGUUAGACAGACGUCCAUAUUCAUUCAACUGGGAAAAUAAAACUGCAGUCCCAACAUCAGAAUUUCCUUGGUCAGUUGGUUAUUGCGGGACAGCAUUCUUCUGCAUGACAGUAUUGUCUCCUUACCAGCCACAGAGGAGGCUGUGAGAGAGAGGAUUUGGGAAAUUGGUGCAAAUGAGAAAUCUUGGAAAUCUAGAACUAAAGCCUUUCAGCAGGAAAUCCAGAUGCUCACUAAGUGACUAGAGCAGCUGCAUCAUCUUUAAGAAGAAGGUGCUCAAGAAUCAUCCCAAGCUGAAGAAAAAAGUAUUGGGAACAAAAAAGACCCUUGAAAUGUCUAGAAAGAAAAAUUGAGAUCAAGGACUUUUUCAAGAGAGAUUAGACUUGGACAGGAAGAAAGUAAGAAUUUCCUGAAGUAUAAGCAUUCCUUUGAUAAUGAAAAUGAUUGCAUUUUAUUCAUAACUUUAACUUUAUCUAAUGUUUGAAGCUGUUAAUACUGUUAAUACUUUUCUCCACAUUGGGAAAGGGGGGAAAUUUGCUACAAACUCUGAAAGCUUCCGAUUUUAUUUUAUUUAUUUAUUUAUAUUUUUUGAGAGAGAGUCUCGCUCUGUCACCAGACUGGAGUGCAGUGACGCUAUCUUGGCUCACUGCAACCUCUGCCUCCUGGGUUCAAGCGAUUCUCCUGCCUCAGCCUCCCGAGUAGCUGGGACUACAGGCACGCGCCACCAUGCCCAGCUAAUUUUUGUAUUUUUAGUAGAGACGAGGUUUCACCAUUUUAGCCAGGAUGGUCUCAAUCUCUUGACCUUAUGAUCCACCUGCCUCAGCCUCCCAAAGUG